CAGCAGCCACGGUAAUACGUAGGGUGCAAGCGUUAAUCGGAAUUACUGGGCGUAAAGCGUGCGCAGGCGGUGUUGUAAGACUGAUGUGAAAUCCCCGGGCUCAACCUGGGAACUGCAUUGGAUACUGGGUCACUAGAGUGUGGUAGAGGAUAGUGGAAUUUCCGGUGUAGCAGUGAAAUGCGUAGAGAUCGGAAGGAACAUCUGUGGCGAAGGCGACUAUCUGGGCCAACACUGACACUGAGGCACGAAAGCGUGGGGAGCAAAUAGGAUUAGAUACCCCGGUAGUCCCUGUCUCUUAUAC
Molecule: ribosomal RNA, 301 nt
Filed under: uncultured bacterium
Lineage: Bacteria
Description: partial 16S ribosomal RNA
Rfam family: Bacterial small subunit ribosomal RNA
Source: RNAcentral